This 213-nucleotide long non-coding RNA is filed under the name Gossypium raimondii (Peruvian cotton). RNAcentral's name for it is "long non-coding RNA (GRAI_LNC002008)". The record is from RNAcentral. Lineage: Eukaryota; Viridiplantae; Streptophyta; Magnoliopsida; Malvales; Malvaceae.
GUUUUUAUUUUAUUUUUCGUUUCUAGAUCCAAACCUUUAAUUCUGUUAUUUUCUUAUUUUUUUUCCAGGAAUGCAGGUUUUCUUAGGCAAGAUUCUGCCUGGGAUUUCACGGAACAAGAUAUUGUGCAAAUUCAGUCCCUGAAGUUUUGACCUUACUUCUCUUUUACUAUUCGUUUUCAUUAUUUAUUAGGAAUAGGAUAUUUUUGGUGCUUU